Molecule: ribosomal RNA, 148 nt
Filed under: uncultured archaeon
Lineage: Archaea
Description: partial 16S ribosomal RNA
Rfam family: Archaeal small subunit ribosomal RNA
Source: RNAcentral
ACGGGGCGCAGCAGGCGCGAAAACUUCGCAAUGUGCGAAAGCACGACGAGGUUAGUCCGACUGUCAUUUGCUGAAUUUGACUUUUCAUAAAUGUAAGUAGUUUAUGGAAUAAGGGGAGGGAAAGUCUGGUGCCAGCCGCCGCGGUAAU